This 460-nucleotide ribosomal RNA is filed under the name uncultured bacterium. RNAcentral's name for it is "partial 16S ribosomal RNA". It matches the Rfam family "Bacterial small subunit ribosomal RNA", at positions 338 to 795 of the family's 1533-position model. The record is from RNAcentral.
CCUACGGGUGGCAGCAGUGAGGAAUAUUGGUCAAUGGGCGCGAGCCUGAACCAGCCAAGUAGCGUGAAGGAUGACUGCCCUACGGGUUGUAAACUUCUUUUAUAAAGGAAUAAAGUGAGGCACGUGUGCCUGUUUGAAUGUACUUUAUGCAUAAGCAUCGGCUAACUCCGUGCCAGCAGCCGCGGGAAUACGUAGGGGGCAAGCGUUAUCCGGAUUUACUGGGUGUAAAGGGAGCGGAGACGGUGCAGCAAGUCUGAUGUGAAAGGUCGGGGCCCAACCCCGGGACUGCAUUGGAAACUGGUGAACUGGAGUACAGGAGAGGUAAGCGGAAUUCCUAGUGUAGCGGUGAAAUGCGUAGAUAUUAGGAAGAACCCCGAUUGCGAAGGCAGCCUUCCGGCGCCCUACUGACGCUGAGGCACGAAAGUGCGGGGAUCGAACAGGAUUAGAUACCCUUGUAGUC